UACGAAGGGGGCUAGCGUUGCUCGGAGUGACUGGGCGUAAAGGGCGCGUAGGCGGCACAUACAGUCAGAUGUGAAAUUCCUGGGCUCAACCUGGGGACUGCAUUUGAUACGUGUGAGCUAGAGUGAAGAAGAGGGUUGUGGAAUUUCCAGUGUAGAGGUGAAAUUCGUAGAUAUUGGAAAGGACACCGGUGGCGAAGGCGGCAACCUGGUCUUUAACUGACGCUGAGGCGCGAAAGCGUGGGGAGCAAACAGG
Molecule: ribosomal RNA, 253 nt
Filed under: uncultured bacterium
Lineage: Bacteria
Description: partial 16S ribosomal RNA
Rfam family: Bacterial small subunit ribosomal RNA
Source: RNAcentral